Molecule: ribosomal RNA, 462 nt
Filed under: uncultured bacterium
Lineage: Bacteria
Description: partial 16S ribosomal RNA
Rfam family: Bacterial small subunit ribosomal RNA
Source: RNAcentral
GACGAACGCUGGCGGCGUGCUUAACACAUGCAAGUCGAACGGAAAGGCCCUUCGGGGUCCUCGAGUGGCGAACGGGUGAGUAACACGUGGGUGAUCUGCCCUGCACUUUGGGAUAAGCCUGGGAAACUGGGUCUAAUACCGAAUAUGAUCAUCGGCUUCAUGGUCGGUGGUGGAAAGCUUUUGCGGUGUGGGAUGGGCCCGCGGCCUAUCAGCUUGUUGGUGGGGUAAUGGCCUACCAAGGCGACGACGGGUAGCCGGCCUGAGAGGGUGACCGGCCACACUGGGACUGAGAUACGGCCCAGACUCCUACGGGAGGCAGCAGUGGGGAAUAUUGCACAAUGGGCGCAAGCCUGAUGCAGCGACGCCGCGUGAGGGAUGACGGCCUUCGGGUUGUAAACCUCUUUCAGCACAGACGAAGCGCAAGUGACGGUAUGUGCAGAAGAAGAACCGGCCAACUACGUG